This 496-nucleotide ribosomal RNA is filed under the name uncultured bacterium. Its description in RNAcentral is "partial 16S ribosomal RNA". It matches the Rfam family "Bacterial small subunit ribosomal RNA", at positions 28 to 506 of the family's 1533-position model. The record is from RNAcentral.
GAUGAACGCUGACGGCGUGCCUAAUACAUGCCAGUCGAGCGAACGGACGAGAAGCUUGCUUCUCUGAUGUUAGCGGCGGACGGGUGAGUAACACGUGGAUAACCUACCUAUAAGACUGGGAUAACUUCGGGAAACCGGAGCUAAUACCGGAUAAUAUUUUGAACCGCAUGGUUCAAAAGUGAAAGACGGUCUUGCUGUCACUUAUAGAUGGAUCCGCGCUGCAUUAGCUAGUUGGUAAGGUAACGGCUUACCAAGGCAACGAUGCAUAGCCGACCUGAGAGGGUGAUCGGCCACACUGGAACUGAGACACGGUCCAGACUCCUACGGGAGGCAGCAGUAGGGAAUCUUCCGCAAUGGGCGAAAGCCUGACGGAGCAACGCCGCGUGAGUGAUGAAGGUCUUCGGAUCGUAAAACUCUGUUAUUAGGGAAGAACAUAUGUGUAAGUAACUGUGCACAUCUUGACGGUACCUAAUCAGAAAGCCACGGCUAACUACGU